UCAGGGCUUGGGACUUCUGGCUGGAGAGCAGGAGUUACAAACACCCUGAACCUUGCUCCUUUUGGCUGGGGGCUGAAUGCAGCUGCAUAGCAAAGAUUCCUUCCCUGAGCCUGCCUGUCCCUGGGAUUAAACAAAGGAAUUUCAGUAAGGCACAGGUAUCUCUCAGGCUCCAUCCCAGGGAUGCAGGCAAUGACACAUGGCUGCUGCUGCAAGAGAAGGAGCUGGAUCAACAGGAAACCCCCCCUUGGCUUCUCCCUUGCUAUCAUCCCCAAGAGACAAUUCCUGCUUGGAAGGCACAGGGAGCCGGGCUUGGGACACUGCUGGAGGCACUUGGG
This is a long non-coding RNA of Passer domesticus (house sparrow), 335 nucleotides long. RefSeq lists it as uncharacterized. The transcript has 3 exons. Lineage: Eukaryota; Metazoa; Chordata; Aves; Passeriformes; Passeridae. The record is from RefSeq and is a predicted model, not a curated record.